RNAcentral lists this ribosomal RNA (383 nucleotides) under uncultured bacterium. RNAcentral describes it as "bacterial SSU rRNA". It matches the Rfam family "Bacterial small subunit ribosomal RNA", at positions 28 to 414 of the family's 1533-position model. The record is from RNAcentral.
GAUGAACGCUGGCGGCGUGCUUAAGACAUGCAAGUCGAACGGAGUGUGUAGCAAUACUCACUGAGUGGCGAAUGGGUGAGUAACACGUAGGUGACCUGCCCUGAAGUGCGGAAUAACAGUCCGAAAGGAUUGCUAAUACCGCAUGUGGUCCCGGGCGUUAGAGAACCGGGUCUAAAGCAGUAAUGCGCUUCAGGAGGGGCCUGCGGUCCAUCAGCUAGNGGUAGGGUAAUGGCCUACCAAGGCAACGACGGAUAGGGGACCUGAGAGGGUGGCCCCCCACAUUGGCACUGACACACGGGCCAAACUCCUACGGGAGGCAGCAGUCGGGAAUAUUGGUCAAUGGGCGAAAGCCUGAACCAGCAACGCCGCGUGCACGAUGAAGG